AGUGAACGCUGGCGGUAGGCCUAACACAUGCAAGUCGAACGGCAGCACAGUAAGAGCUUGCUCUUACGGGUGGCGAGUGGCGGACGGGUGAGGAAUACAUCGGAAUCUACUUUUUCGUGGGGGAUAACGUAGGGAAACUUACGCUAAUACCGCAUACGACCUACGGGUGAAAGCAGGGGAUCUUCGGACCUUGCGCGAUUGAAUGCGCCGAUGUCGGAUUAGCUAGUUGGCGGGGUAAAGGCCCACCAAGCCGACGAUCCGUAGCUGGUCUGAGAGGAUGAUCAGCCACACUGGAACUGAGACACGGUCCAGACUCCUAAGGGAGGCAGCAGUGGGGAAUAUUGGACAAUGGGCGCAAGCCUGAUCCAGCCAUACCGCGUGGGUGAAGAAGGCCUUCGGGUUGUAAAGCCCUUUUGUUGGGAAAGAAAAGCAGCAGGUUAAUACCCCGCUGUUCUGACGGUACCCAAAGAAUAAGCACCGGCUAACUUCGUG
This 492-nucleotide ribosomal RNA is filed under the name uncultured bacterium. Its description in RNAcentral is "partial 16S ribosomal RNA". It matches the Rfam family "Bacterial small subunit ribosomal RNA", at positions 29 to 507 of the family's 1533-position model. The record is from RNAcentral.